AGAUUGAACAUAAGAGUUUGAUCCUGGCUCAGAUUGAACGCUGGCGGCAUGCUUUACACAUGCAAGUCGGACGGCAGCACAGAGAAGCUUGCUUCUCGGGUGGCGAGUGGCGAACGGGUGAGUAACAUAUCGGAACGUACCGAGUAGUGGGGGAUAACUGAUCGAAAGAUCAGCUAAUACCGCAUACGUCUUGAGAGAGAAAGCAGGGGACCUUUGGGCCUUGCGCUAUUCGAGCGGCCGAUAUCUGAUUAGCUGGUUGGUGGGGUAAAGGCCUACCAAGGCGACGAUCAGUAGCGGGUCUGAGAGGAUGAUCCGCCACACUGGGACUGAGACACGGCCCAGACUCCUACGGGAGGCAGCAGUGGGGAAUUUUGGACAAUGGGCGCAAGCCUGAUCCAGCCAUGCCGCGUGUCUGAAGAAGGCCUUCGGGUUGUAAAGGACUUUUGUCAGGGAAGAAAAGGCUGUUGCUAAUAUCAGCGGCUGAUGACGGUACCUGAAGAAUAAGCACCGGCUAACUACGUGCCAGCAGCCGCGGUAAUACGUAGGGUGCGAGCGUUAAUCGGAAUUACUGGGCGUAAAGCGGGCGCAGACGGUUACUUAAGCAGGAUGUGAAAUCCCCGGGCUCAACCCGGGAACUGCGUUCUGAACUGGGUGACUCGAGUGUGUCAGAGGGAGGUAGAAUUCCACGUGUAGCAGUGAAAUGCGUAGAGAUGUGGAGGAAUACCGAUGGCGAAGG
Molecule: ribosomal RNA, 736 nt
Filed under: Salmonella enterica subsp. enterica serovar Minnesota
Lineage: Bacteria; Pseudomonadati; Pseudomonadota; Gammaproteobacteria; Enterobacterales; Enterobacteriaceae
Description: bacterial SSU rRNA
Rfam family: Bacterial small subunit ribosomal RNA
Source: RNAcentral